AGUCGAGCGGGCGAGGUUAGCUUCGCGUAACUGUAGCUAGCGGCGGACGGGUGAGUAAUGCUUAGGAAUCUGCCUAUUAGUGGGGGACAACAUUCCGAAAGGAAUGCUAAUACCGCAUACGCCCUACGGGGGAAAGCAGGGGAUCUUCGGACCUUGCGCUAAUAGAUGAGCCUAAGUCAGAUUAGCUAGUUGGUGGGGUAAAGGCCUACCAAGGCGACGAUCUGUAGCGGGUCUGAGAGGAUGAUCCGCCACACUGGGACUGAGACACGGCCCAGACUCCUACGGGAGGCAGCAGUGGGGAAUAUUGGACAAUGGGGGGAACCCUGAUCCAGCCAUGCCGCGUGUGUGAAGAAGGCCUUUUGGUUGUAAAGCACUUUAAGCGAGGAGGAGGCUACUGGUAUUAAUACUACCGGAUAGUGGACGUUACUCGCAGAAUAAGCACCGGCUAACUCUGUGCCAGCAGCCGCGGUAAUACAGAGGGUGCGAGCGUUAAUCGGAUUUACUGGGCGUAAAGCGUGCGUAGGCGGCUUUUUAAGUCGGAUGUGAAAUCCCUGAGCUUAACUUAGGAAUUGCAUUCGAUACUGGGAAGCUAGAGUAUGGGAGAGGAUGGUAGAAUUCCAGGUGUAGCGGUGAAAUGCGUAGAGAUCUGGAGGAAUACCGAUGGCGAAGGCAGCCAUCUGGCCUAAUACUGACGCUGAGGUACGAAAGCAUGGGGAGCAAACAGGAUUAGAUACCCUGGUAGUCCAUGCCGUAAACGAUGUCUACUAGCCGUUGGGGCCUUUGAGGCUUUAGUGGCGCAGCUAACGCGAUAAGUAGACCGCCUGGGGAGUACGGUCGCAAGACUAAAACUCAAAUGAAUUGACGGGGGCCCGCACAAGCGGUGGAGCAUGUGGUUUAAUUCGAUGCAACGCGAAGAACCUUA
Molecule: ribosomal RNA, 922 nt
Filed under: Acinetobacter sp. Pao47
Lineage: Bacteria; Pseudomonadati; Pseudomonadota; Gammaproteobacteria; Moraxellales; Moraxellaceae
Description: bacterial SSU rRNA
Rfam family: Bacterial small subunit ribosomal RNA
Source: RNAcentral